Molecule: ribosomal RNA, 637 nt
Filed under: uncultured Lachnospiraceae bacterium
Lineage: Bacteria; Bacillati; Bacillota; Clostridia; Lachnospirales; Lachnospiraceae
Description: bacterial SSU rRNA
Rfam family: Bacterial small subunit ribosomal RNA
Source: RNAcentral
AUUGAAGCUUCGGCAGAUUUAGCUGGUUUCUAGUGGCGGACGGGUGAGUAACGCGUGGGUAACCUGCCUUAUACAGGGGGAUAACAACCAGAAAUGGUUGCUAAUACCGCAUAAGCGCACAGGACCGCAUGGUCCGGUGUGAAAAACUCCGGUGGUAUAAGAUGGACCCGCGUUGGAUUAGCUAGUUGGCAGGGUAACGGCCUACCAAGGCGACGAUCCAUAGCCGGCCUGAGAGGGUGAACGGCCACAUUGGGACUGAGACACGGCCCAGACUCCUACGGGAGGCAGCAGUGGGGAAUAUUGCACAAUGGGGGAAACCCUGAUGCAGCGACGCCGCGUGAAGGAAGAAGUAUCUCGGUAUGUAAACUUCUAUCAGCAGGGAAGAUAGUGACGGUACCUGACUAAGAAGCCCCGGCUAACUACGUGCCAGCAGCCGCGGUAAUACGUAGGGGGCAAGCGUUAUCCGGAUUUACUGGGUGUAAAGGGAGCGUAGACGGACUGGCAAGUCUGAUGUGAAAGGCGGGGGCUCAACCCUUGGACUGCAUUGGAAACUGUUAGUCUUGAGUGCCGGAGAGGUAAGCGGAAUUCCUAGUGUAGCGGUGAAAUGCGUAGAUAUUAGGAGGAACACCAGUGGCGA